RNAcentral lists this ribosomal RNA (460 nucleotides) under uncultured bacterium. RNAcentral describes it as "partial 16S ribosomal RNA". It matches the Rfam family "Bacterial small subunit ribosomal RNA", at positions 338 to 795 of the family's 1533-position model. The record is from RNAcentral.
CCUACGGGAGGCAGCAGUGAGGAAUAUUGGUCAAUGGGCGCGAGCCUGAACCAGCCAAGUCGCGUGAGGGAAGACGGCCCUACGGGUUGUAAACCUCUUUUGCCGGGGAGCAACGGGCGCCACGUGUGGCGCCACUGAGAGUACCCGGAGAACAAGCAUCGGCAAACUCCGUGCCAGCAGCCGCGGUAAUACGGAGGAUGCGAGCGUUAUCCGGAUUUAUUGGGUUUAAAGGGUGCGUAGGCGGACCGUUAAGUCAGUGGUCAAAUUGAGGGGCUCAACCACUUCCCGCCAUUGAAACUGGCGAUCUUGAGUGGAAGAGAGGUAUGCGGAAUGCGUGGUGUAGCGGUGAAAUGCAUAGAUAUCACGCAGAACCCCGGUUGCGAAGGCAGCAUGCCGGCUUCCUACUGACGCUGAAGCACGAAAGCGUGGGGAUCGAACAGGAUUAGAUACCCGAGUAGUC